UUAUGACGUUACCGGUAGAAGAAGCUCCGGCUAACUCCGUGCCAGCAGCCGCGGUAAUACUAAGGGGGCUAGCGUUGUUCGGAAUUACUGGGCGUAAAGUUCGCGUAGGCUACUGGGGCUAGUCAGGUGUGAAAGCUCUGGGCUCACCUAACUUCGGAAACUGCCCCCUAGACUGCUCCUCUGGAGUACGGUAGAAGUUGGUGGAAUUCCCGGUGUAGAAGUGAAAUGCGUAUAUAUUGGGAAGAACACAAUUGGCGAAGGUGGCGCCCUGGACCGUUACUGACGCUCAUGCCCCUAAAGCUUGGGUAGCAAUCAGGAUUAAAUACCCUGGUAGUCCACGCCCUAAACUAUCAUGGCUAGCUGUCGGCUA
RNAcentral lists this ribosomal RNA (370 nucleotides) under uncultured Rhodothalassium sp. RNAcentral's name for it is "bacterial SSU rRNA". It matches the Rfam family "Bacterial small subunit ribosomal RNA", at positions 467 to 829 of the family's 1533-position model. Lineage: Bacteria; Pseudomonadati; Pseudomonadota; Alphaproteobacteria; Rhodothalassiales; Rhodothalassiaceae. The record is from RNAcentral.